CACGUAGGCACCAAGCGUUGUCCGGAUUUAUUGGGCGUAAAGAGCUCGUAGGCGGUUCGUCACGUCGGGAGUGAAAACUCGGAGCUUAACUCCGAGCCUGCUUCCGAUACGGGCAGACUAGAGGUAGGCAGGGGAGAGCGGAACUCCUGGUGUAGCGGUGGAAUGCGCAGAUAUCAGGAAGAACACCGGUGGCGAAGGCGGCUCUCUGGGCCUUACCUGACGCUGAGGAGCGAAAGCGUGGGGAGCAAACAGG
This 253-nucleotide ribosomal RNA is filed under the name uncultured bacterium. RNAcentral's name for it is "partial 16S ribosomal RNA". It matches the Rfam family "Bacterial small subunit ribosomal RNA", at positions 524 to 776 of the family's 1533-position model. The record is from RNAcentral.